RNAcentral lists this ribosomal RNA (1369 nucleotides) under uncultured bacterium. RNAcentral's name for it is "bacterial SSU rRNA". It matches the Rfam family "Bacterial small subunit ribosomal RNA". The record is from RNAcentral.
CAAGUCGAACGAUGAUGCCCAGCUUGCUGGGUGGAUUAGUGGCGAACGGGUGAGUAACACGUGAGUAACCUGCCCCUGACUCUGGGAUAAGCGUUGGAAACGACGUCUAAUACUGGAUAUGACUGCCGGCCGCAUGGUCUGGUGGUGGAAAGAUUUUUUGGUUGGGGAUGGACUCGCGGCCUAUCAGCUUGUUGGUGAGGUAAUGGCUCACCAAGGCGACGACGGGUAGCCGGCCUGAGAGGGUGACCGGCCACACUGGGACUGAGACACGGCCCAGACUCCUACGGGAGGCAGCAGUGGGGAAUAUUGCACAAUGGGCGAAAGCCUGAUGCAGCAACGCCGCGUGAGGGAUGACGGCCUUCGGGUUGUAAACCUCUUUUAGUAGGGAAGAAGCGAAAGUGACGGUACCUGCAGAAAAAGCACCGGCUAACUACGUGCCAGCAGCCGCGGUAAUACGUAGGGUGCAAGCGUUGUCCGGAAUUAUUGGGCGUAAAGAGCUCGUAGGCGGUUUGUCGCGUCUGCUGUGAAAUCCCGAGGCUCAACCUCGGGCUUGCAGUGGGUACGGGCAGACUAGAGUGCGGUAGGGGAGAUUGGAAUUCCUGGUGUAGCGGUGGAAUGCGCAGAUAUCAGGAGGAACACCGAUGGCGAAGGCAGAUCUCUGGGCCGUAACUGACGCUGAGGAGCGAAAGCGUGGGGAGCGAACAGGAUUAGAUACCCUGGUAGUCCACGCCGUAAACGUUGGGCGCUAGAUGUAGGGACCUUUCCACGGUUUCUGUGUCGUAGCUAACGCAUUAAGCGCCCCGCCUGGGGAGUACGGCCGCAAGGCUAAAACUCAAAGGAAUUGACGGGGGCCCGCACAAGCGGCGGAGCAUGCGGAUUAAUUCGAUGCAACGCGAAGAACCUUACCAAGGCUUGACAUACACCGGAAACGGCCAGAGAUGGUCGCCCCCUUGUGGUCGGUGUACAGGUGGUGCAUGGUUGUCGUCAGCUCGUGUCGUGAGAUGUUGGGUUAAGUCCCGCAACGAGCGCAACCCUCGUUCUAUGUUGCCAGCGCGUUAUGGCGGGGACUCAUAGGAGACUGCCGGGGUCAACUCGGAGGAAGGUGGGGAUGACGUCAAAUCAUCAUGCCCCUUAUGUCUUGGGCUUCACGCAUGCUACAAUGGCCGGUACAAAGGGCUGCGAUACCGUAAGGUGGAGCGAAUCCCAAAAAGCCGGUCUCAGUUCGGAUUGAGGUCUGCAACUCGACCUCAUGAAGUCGGAGUCGCUAGUAAUCGCAGAUCAGCAACGCUGCGGUGAAUACGUUCCCGGGCCUUGUACACACCGCCCGUCAAGUCAUGAAAGUCGGUAACACCCGAAGCCGGUGGCCUAA